UUUAUUAUUAUUUUAUUUUUAUUUUUUUAAUCCCUAGUUUUGCAUGUACUGAUUUAUGAAUUUUGCGGUCCAUCGGGAUGCCCUAACUUUUGCCUAAGUAAACUCCUUUUUAGUUUUUUUUGCCUUAGCGUUCCCCUUUUUUUUAAACCACUUCUUGUGAUAUUGGAUUUUGAAUUCGAAAGCUGUGACUGCCAUAUUAGCCUUCGUUAGAUUUAUUCCUUUAUUGCUUCCUUGAUGUUAGAUGAUGUAUGCGAGGAAUAAGAUGUGCUUGGACCUAUUAUCCUUGCGAUUAGAUGGAAUAAUUCUCUUGAGAUCAUAAUGCAUCAUUGAC
RNAcentral lists this long non-coding RNA (331 nucleotides) under Lathyrus oleraceus (garden pea). RNAcentral describes it as "Pisum sativum (pea) long non-coding RNA (PSAT_LNC013325)". Lineage: Eukaryota; Viridiplantae; Streptophyta; Magnoliopsida; Fabales; Fabaceae. The record is from RNAcentral.